This is a long non-coding RNA of Mugil cephalus (flathead mullet), 372 nucleotides long. RefSeq lists it as uncharacterized. The record is from RefSeq and is a predicted model, not a curated record. NCBI's taxonomy places the organism in Eukaryota, Metazoa, Chordata, Actinopteri, Mugiliformes, Mugilidae. The transcript is spliced from 4 exons.
GUUUAACUCUUCUGUUUUUGUUUUUCAAGAUUUCCAGAAAGCAAUAACUCAGAGGGAGUCAGAUUUCAGACAUAAUGUCAUUUUGUUUGGAGCUUUCACAUGGAUUUCCAGAAAACAAGGAGUCAGAUUUCAGACAUAACGUCACUUUGUUUGGAGCUUUCAGAUGGAUUUCCAGAAAACAAGGAUUCAGAUUUCAGACUUAACAUCACUUUGGAGCUUUCAGAUGGAUUUUUCAGGAAACAAUAAACCUCAGGGAGUCAAAUUUCAGACAUAAUGUGACCUUGUUUGGAGCUUUCAGAUGGUAAGGUACAUCUCAGAUUUAGUCUCAAAUACUGAAUACAGUUUAACUCUUUUUCUGCUUUUGUUUUUCAG